UAUAGCUAGAUAUUUUGUGUAUGAAUUGACUGUUUAACUUUAUGCAUGUUAUUAUAUGUUUGAGCCGUGCACCGUUUGUAGAAUUGUUUACUUACUAGUAUAUGUUCUAUUUUGAUGUGUUAGUUAUUUAGUUUAAUGAUCUAUGCAUGCUUACUUUGAUCAACGAUAUUGACAUAAGUUAAUGAAUGCCCCGUGUAAGAACUGUGGUGCUUUGAGAUGCCAGAAGGAUAGGAAGUUCUUCAUCGAUCUUUCGAAAGACUUCAUCACUAAAACGGCGCCCAAGCCUAGUUCGAUUGCUUCGCCGCCUUCCUUCACCAAGUUGGGUUCGUGACGGCCCGACCUGACCCAUCCCUCUUCGGUCUCAAGCGCGCCGACGAGUGUGCGUACCUCCUGUUGUACAGCGACGACAUUGUCAUCACAGCGUCGUCAAUGUCUCUCCUCCAUCGACUCCAGCAACAGCUCCUUUCCGAGUUCACCAUGAAAGUCUCGGCCCCUUGUACUACUUCUUCACCAUACGCGUCUCCCACACCAACGUCGGCUUCUUCCUAUCACAAGGCAAGUAUGUCGCAGAGCUGAUGUACCGCACCAACAUGCUGCAGUGCAAGCCGGACAACACACCCGUCGACACGCGUUGCAAGUUGUCCGCCGAUGCGUGGGCCCCGACCGAGGACGCCUCGGACUACCGCAACAUUGUGGGUGCAUUGCAAUAACUAAAUACAACAAAAGGAGAUUCAAAGUUAGUCCGAGUCAAAGGAAAUAAGUUAAACAAAAAGAGAUUCGGGGUUAGUCCCAGUCAAAGAAAAUAAAUACAACCAAAACGAAUUGUUGAGGAAAUCAUUAAUUAA
Hordeum vulgare subsp. vulgare (domesticated barley) is the source of this 845-nucleotide long non-coding RNA. RefSeq lists it as uncharacterized. The transcript is spliced from 2 exons. NCBI's taxonomy places the organism in Eukaryota, Viridiplantae, Streptophyta, Magnoliopsida, Poales, Poaceae. The record is from RefSeq and is a predicted model, not a curated record.